This 5765-nucleotide long non-coding RNA is filed under the name Sus scrofa (pig). RNAcentral's name for it is "lncRNA (ENSSSCG00040000026.1)". The record is from RNAcentral. Lineage: Eukaryota; Metazoa; Chordata; Mammalia; Artiodactyla; Suidae.
AGAGAAUGUCUCCUUUCCAAAUUGGAGCAGCCGCUGCUACUCCCUCUAAAAGAGCUCAACGGCAGAGACAGACUGAGCGCACUGCUGUGCCUUUUCUCCAGACGUCUAAAUCCUGGGCGCCUUCGAAGGAGACCAGACUUCACCUUGGGGACAACUUUGGGGGUUGCCAAAAAGUACCCAGAACAUGAGAUUUCCCCUCUGCAGAGCCAGGAGGACGCGCCAGCGGUCUGUCGGUCAGACACACGUGGUAAACCGCUCUCGGGCGCUCAGGAAACUGUGUGGGGACAACAGAUAGAAGACAGAAGGCGUUCGUUGGACGGCGAGGAAGUUGUCUGACAUCCAGGAAGCAGGCAGAUGCCCGGUCAGGAAGGCAAGAGGAGUGGCAAGGAGACGUGCGGCCGACAGCAGCCCUGCAUGGGGACAGAGCAGGGAGGAGGCCUGAGGUUCAGCUGCGCGAAGCGAGGCCUGCCAGACCCUAACGGACGGGAGCCGGGCCUCCUUGGGGACCGCGAGCUCAGGAAAGAUGGCACGUUCGUGUCUGCAGUGCUUUGGAGAGGCAGACGCAUUCAUCCAGUCAAUCAACAAACACCGCUGCCGACUGCUCAGCGGGCACCCGAGCAGGAGGCGGGACUGAACUGUGACCCGCUCUCAUCAAAGCCUCCCUCAGGGUCCCAGGGCUGCGAACAUCAGGGCGCCCAGGCCUGUCCUCCGGGCACUUCAGGAACAUUGAGGCUCUUAGUCUGUUUGCUUGGCUCUAACGGACGACGCGGCGGGGGCUUAGACGACAAGUGUGUUCCUCACAGUUCCGGGCGCUGGACGUGCACGGCCGACAGGCCAGCGCGGGGUCCGAGGAGGGCCCUCUUCCGGUUCACAGACGGCGAGUCCCGCCUGGAGGAAGGGUGCGGGCUCCCCGGCUCUCUACACGGGCGCCGAGCCCGUCCGGGGCUCCACCCUCAGGGCUCCUCGCCUGCUGCCACCAUCGCACAGGAGUCAGGGUCCCUCCCAUGCAUCUGGGGACACCCGGGCCGCGCAGGCAGCUCUGCUGUGUGCGCUCACCGCCUCUCUGACACCCACAGGUGUCGCGUUCGGUGACCAGGCUGGGCGCCGCCCGGCGACUCCUGCCGAAUGGGGCCAGGGACGGAAGCAGAGCGACCCCAGCAGCGCACAGCCCGAGGUGGUGUCGGAAGCGCUCGGAACCUGACCUUCUACCACCGCGUUUUCACCUGCUCGCAUCCGGAACCGGGGAUGCUCCUGACGCGGGCGCAGGAAGAGGCCUCGGAGGCGGGCAGGUGUUUAAAGAUGACGUCGCAGGAGGUUCUGCCGGGCUGUGGGCUGAGGGGGUGUGUGUCCCUGUGACCCCGCGAAAUCAGUGUGCUUCAGCACCAGGGAGGUCCCGCCGAGCCUCCAGCCCUGUCCUGAACCCCAGUUCAGUCCAUGAGCUCAAGACCCAGCACACGAGAUGCUACAUGUCUGCAAGACGUAGACGCUUCCUAGUCCACGGCCUGCGCUUGAGGGAGGGGCAGUUUUCAGAUGUCCUGCAAAUACGGAGCAUCUCUGGGGGACAGUGUGCAGGGCCAGCCCCUCAGAGCAGCCACCAGGUCUACCUCUUACCCCGCCCCCCAGCCCACCUCGCCUGCCUCCGCUGCCCAGCGUAUGUAUCAGCUGGCUUGUCCUCAGCCAGCACCACGCCUGCCCCGGGGCGUGAACCGCAGAGACGCAGCCUUCUUCGUCCUCCGCAUCUCCAACAACUGCAGCAGGUCUUGGCCUGUGGCAGGACUCCGGUAACUACUGCUGAGCGGAUGCAUGAAUAUUCACAUUGAUGACAGUGGGAGAGAACAAACGAGCAGCAAAACCUAAGAAACUAAGUUAAUUUUCACUUGGAAUUCUUGAAAUUUGACUUUUUAGGGUCUAUAUUCUGUUACAAUGUUGAGAACGUUGCAAAGGAUAAAUCCUGGAUGUCAGUAACCCUUAAUCCGAAAGGUGACCCUUCCCUGAAAGGCUCUCAGGCCAAGGCGGCAGAGGUGACACUUUCAGGCGCACCCCCCGCCCCCACCUCCAGGCUCUGCUCAUCUCAGAAAGACACGCGAGCACAGUCUGGAAGCCAAACUCAAAACUUCUCCUGACGACGUAAGGAGACACUCACCAACAGGAGAGCUUCCAGAAGCUUCCCCAGGCCACUCGGCCUUAGAAACUCCCACCCUGAGGGCCCUGAGACUUCCGGGACAUUGCUGGACCUGUGACCGCAAGCAGGUGCUAAUGGCCCUGUGACCAUGAAGCCACCAGAAAGCUGCUGGCAGGUGACGGACCCUCGUCUGGGUCCUGGGUGAAGACUCGCUGUGUGUCACAGUGGUGGGUUCUCACGUUUGCUGCGUGUAGAAAUCCAGCCGCCUCACUGAGGUGCACCAGGGUUAUGGGUUGGUUCUGGUGGGAAACGCUUUGUGGGGGAGGAAGAGUGGAAAGGUGACCACGGGAAGCCUCUGAGCAUGGCUGGUGCUCUGUGUGUCUCGUUAUUGUCCCAUGUCCCCCCCAGAGCAACACCUGAUGAAGGGCUUGGGGAGGCCCAGGGUGCGUUUGUAAGCAGCGCCCCCGCGGAUGCGAUUGACGGGUGGGGUCAGACGAGGGGAGCCACCACCCCUGAGUCCUCUCUGGGUUUCCACAAAGCAGCGCCCGUGGCAAAACAGGAAGCAGGGAAGAUGAAGGCGGGCGAGGGGAGCCAGCGCCCUUCCCCCCGAAAGGCAGCCGAACAACGGCCCCCAGGACCUCAUGGUCUGCGCAGUUGGUAGGAGGCGAUCCGGGGAACGGACACGGGAACAGAAACGGGCCAACCCCAGCCGGCAGCGAGGGGCCGCCGUUACAGGCAUGGUGUUCAGCAGGGGUGUGGCCCGUCCACAGUGCACUCAGCGGCCAGGUUUGCUGGGGCUGGUGCAGGAGCACUGAGCCCGCUGUAAGGGUCUCCCACCCCCACCCUGUGUCCCAGGCCGCAACGUGGAGGGACCACGGCCCAGCCACCCCGCCAAAGCUCCCAGAACAAUUGUCUGCCCUCCUGAGGCGGGAGAGGGCCUCAGGGCUGCUGCUGUGACCCUGGUAGUGACUCUCUAGGGUAGACCCUGGAAGUUUCCAGAACAACAGAAAGUCAGGGGUGCCAUCAUGGAGUCACUUCCCUGGGGGAGUGGUCUGCUGUGUGGCUGUCACAGAUGACCGUGGCCCUGAGUCACGGCAGCCGGAGAUCAGAACUCCGACGUCUGCCCGAGGGCUCCCCUGCCCGAUGGCUGCUCCUGGAUCCCCCAGGCGUCCGUGCAGCCUCCACCCCGCCAGACACUGCCCUCGGUCAGGGUCCCGGGUUGCCCAUGGGUGCAGGAAGGACUGGGCAGCAUUGGUUGUCUCCUCUCCCUCUGAGUGAGCUUCUCUGCCCGCCUGCAGCUCUCCUGUCCCCUGCAGAGCGCCAGGCGCUGUUUCCUUCAGGGAAGCAGGCUUUACAGUCCCAGGGUCAUCGUUGGGCACGUGGAGGUAGACACUCGCGAGCCUAACCCUUCAGGGUUCCUCCACGUAGCGUCACACCCACACCUCCGGCUGGCCCGUCCUCUCACUGUGGAGUCAGCUCCUUACCCAUCAUGAUGGGAUUUAUGAGGCGCGUGUUUUCAGGAACAGGGCUCCCUCCCCCGGCUCCGGAGCACGCGGCACAGCCCUGCUGACGCCCAGAUCACCUGAUAUAACUGACAACCGUUAGGGUGAUGGGUGGCGGUUGCCAUGACGACCAUUUAGCCCUGAUCAGAGAGCAUCCCAGACAACAGGGCCAGCCCCCUGCACAGGUGGUAAAGCCAGCCUACAGCAGGGCCCUCGAGCUCAAGGCCGAGCGGGAGGUUAGGCGGUCAGGGUGAUGAGGACAGAAGCCGAGUUCCUGGAGAGGACGAAGGCAUGAUGCCGCUGCUCAGUCAGCCUGGAUGGUCGUGACUUCUCGGUACCUGGACUCAGUUGAAAUAAAGUCCUUUCCUCUCAGCUCCGUCGGGUUGUGGGGUCGGGGUGCAAUGACACCUAUGUGGUCCCAUCCCCGUUCCUGGCACUGAGCUCCCAACCCUGGGGGUACUUGGGCGAUGGAGGUGGGGGGGCCAUGUUUGCUUGUCAUGGCAGCCCCUCCCACCCACAUCUGGGUUUAUACUAAUGGGGCGACUUUGCAGAAGCCCUAAAGAUGGGAGCCGUCUGCCAGUGGAGCCACAGCCACGUGACUAGAGGGUUGGACCUUCUCCGAGGUCCAGGGGAGGGUGAGCUGGUCACCAGUGGCCAGUGAUUUAACGGCUGCCUAAUGAAGCCUCUGCAGAAAACCCUCACCAAGGGGCCGAGAGCUUCCAGGUCAGAAUUUGGAGGUGCCGGGGCGAGGCGGGUAUUGCCCCUGGAGGACUCAUCUCUGCCCCUGCCCCGCCCUCUGCAUCUCUUCCACCCUGUUGUUUCUGAGUUGUGUCUUUUAUAAGGAACAGUCAGCACUCUUCUGUCCAGCCAGUCGGUCAGAAGCACAGUGACGCUUGGGACUUGGGUGGUGUCUUGAGGCAAUAGUUGUGCAGGUUGAGCCCUUAUCUGUGUGGUCUGCACCAGCUGCAGGGGGAAAGUGUAAGUGAAUUAAUUCAUAGACCCCCCAGUCACGUCUCAGAGAACUGCAGAGUUGCUUGCAUGGGAACCCACUCGGCUGGUUUAGAAAGUGUGUCUACACCAGCACUGGGCCACUGGAGAACAAAGUCUGCAGGGACCUUGGGGACCAGGGCCUCGGGGUUGAGGGCCCCGGCCCAAGACAGAGAGAGGAGACCUUCCCCCUCAGUGCCCCCAGCUCCACCCUGGUCCUUUGCGGCUCCUCUGCCCCUCCAGUCUGACCCCCACUGACCACCCACUUAAACUAGCUACUUCAGGGAUAUCGAACAUCUGUGAGGGUUAGGUCUGGCUGAAUGUAACACAUGGGCAGAAAAAAAGGAAAAACCAUACAUGACUUAAACGAAAUGGAAAGUUGGUCCCUUCACUGAGCUAAGUCCAGUGGCAGAGGGUCGGGACAGAGUUGAUGGCUGCCUCGGCAGGGCCCUCUUGCUCCUCUGCCAUUUUUUUGACUUUGGCCUCAUGGCUGAAAAAGGCUGCUGUGACACCAGCCAUCACUUCCACACACCACAGGCAGGAAUAAGGAGGUGGGGGGGGGCUUUCACUCUCUCCUCUGAAGCCAUUGCACCCACUGGUUCGGGUUGAGUCCCAGGCUGUACCUGGCCACAGGGAGGGUGGGGAGUCCUGUCUUUGCUGGGGCAGAACGGGCCACACUACACAAUUGGAGUUCUUUUACCCGGGGGAAGGGGCGUGCAUUCUGUACAGCAACAAGUGUCCUGUGUCUCCCUCCUAACUAGUAAUUAGCACCUCGCUUGCACACACACCAGACUAGUGCCACAUUACGCACUUCCCCGAGUCUCCCCCCAGCUGUGAUUGGCACCUCGCAUGCACAUGCACAGUGAUGCUGCAGUGCACACUUCACGCCCACCCGUGUGCCUAGUCCUCAUCUCAGCCCAGGCGGGAGGUCAGCUUAGUUUAGGUAACCAGCCAGGGUUACCAGCAAGCUGCCGGUGUGCAGAAGACUUGAACUAGCGUGUCUCACCCCGCUUCUCGCACCUGUUCUGGAGCGGGUCCGAGGACAGACCUGGAGCAGCGCAGAGGGCCCCCGGCCAUCUCCUCCCGGCUGAGCCUGCCAGGGGUGAGACAGCCCAGGAAUAUCCAUGUGCUGUGGGCUCCGCCAAAAUAAAUAA